This 450-nucleotide ribosomal RNA is filed under the name uncultured bacterium. RNAcentral describes it as "bacterial SSU rRNA". It matches the Rfam family "Bacterial small subunit ribosomal RNA", at positions 330 to 794 of the family's 1533-position model. The record is from RNAcentral.
CGCCAACUCCUACGGGAGGCAGCAGUGGGGAAUAUUGGGCAAUGGGCGCAAGCCUGACCCAGCAACGCCGCGUGAAGGAAGAAGGCUUUCGGGUUGUAAACUUCUUUUCUCAGGGACGAAGCAAGUGACGGUACCUGAGGAAUAAGCCACGGCUAACUACGUGCCAGCAGCCGCGGUAAUACGUAGGUGGCAAGCGUUAUCCGGAUUUACUGGGUGUAAAGGGCGUGUAGGCGGGACUGCAAGUCAGAUGUGAAAACCACGGGCUCAACCUGUGGCCUGCAUUUGAAACUGUGUUUCUUGAGUGCUGGAGAGGCAAUCGGAAUUCCGUGUGUAGCGGUGAAAUGCGUAGAUAUACGGAGGAACACCAGUGGCGAAAGCGGAUUGCUGGACAGUAACUGACGCUGAGGCGCGAAAGCGUGGGGAGCAACCAGGAUUAGAUACCCCGGUAAC